GCCGGGCACAGUGGCGUGUGCCUGUAAUCCCAGCUACUCAGGAGGCUGAGGCAGAAGAAUCGCUUGAACCCAGGAGGCAGAGGUUGCAGUGAGCCGAGAUUGUGCCACUGCACUCCAGCCUGGGUGACAGAGCGAGACUCCGUCUCAA
RNAcentral lists this signal recognition particle RNA (148 nucleotides) under Pan troglodytes (chimpanzee). RNAcentral's name for it is "Metazoan signal recognition particle RNA". It matches the Rfam family "Metazoan signal recognition particle RNA". From Rfam's summary of the family: The signal recognition particle (SRP) is a universally conserved ribonucleoprotein. It is involved in the co-translational targeting of proteins to membranes. Lineage: Eukaryota; Metazoa; Chordata; Mammalia; Primates; Hominidae. The record is from Rfam by way of RNAcentral.